AUGUCUUCGUGGGAGGACGAGGACUCCGCCGCCGCGUCGGCCGCGGCGACCACGGACGUGGAGCUGCUGAAGCGUGCUUGGCGCAACGAGAAGGCCGCGCCGGAGAUCCUCCACUUCGACUCCGCCCUCGUCUCCCGCGCCCGCGAGCAGAUCCAGCUCCUCGAGGAGACGCUCGAUGACUUCACGGAUAACGGCGUCGACGACCUGGUGGUCUCGCUCUACCAGAUGGACCUAGACCGCACGCUCUUCCUGCUCCGCUCCUACCUACGGCUCCGCCUGCAGAAGAUUGAGAAGUACAUGGCCCACAUCGCCAAUUCUGAGGACCUCUUGAGCCGGCUGUCGCAGCAGGAGCAGCGAUUCGCCAAGAGCUGCAAGGAGAUCAUGGAGAAGCAUCUCGAGCAGUCGGUGCUGUCGAAGCUUCCCUACGGUUAUGACUCGGUAACGAGGCAAUCCUUGUCGAGCACGGAGGAUGACAUGGUUCCAGAGCCUCAGCUUGACACAUUUGUCUUCUGCAAGACCAAGAGUGACGUAGGAGCAUUCCAGCUAGAUGACGUAGGGGAGGAAGUUGUGGAUUUGGUUGCUGACGACCUGUAUGUCCUUCGGUACAAGUCCAUCAAGGGCCUUGUCGAGGCCGGCCGAAUUGACCUUAUUUGA
RNAcentral lists this ribosomal RNA (654 nucleotides) under Triticum aestivum (bread wheat). Its description in RNAcentral is "partial small subunit ribosomal RNA". The record is from RNAcentral. Lineage: Eukaryota; Viridiplantae; Streptophyta; Magnoliopsida; Poales; Poaceae.